GCCCAGAUAGCUCAGUCGGUAGAGCAGGGAACUGAAAAUCCCCGUGUCGGUGGUUCGAUGCCGCCUCUGGGCACCA
This 76-nucleotide transfer RNA is filed under the name Clostridioides difficile. RNAcentral's name for it is "tRNA-Phe". It matches the Rfam family "tRNA". From Rfam's summary of the family: Transfer RNA (tRNA) molecules are approximately 80 nucleotides in length. Their secondary structure includes four short double-helical elements and three loops (D, anti-codon, and T loops). Lineage: Bacteria; Bacillati; Bacillota; Clostridia; Peptostreptococcales; Peptostreptococcaceae. The record is from RNAcentral.